UGGGGAAUUUUCCACAAUGGGCGAAAGCCUGACCCAGCAACGCCGCGUGAAGGAUGAAGUAUUUCGGUAUGUAAACUUCGAAAGAAUAGGAAGAAUAAAUGACGGUACUAUUUAUAAGGUCCGGCUAACUACGUGCCAGCAGCCGCGGUAAUACGUAGGGACCAAGCGUUGUUCGGAUUUACUGGGCGUAAAGGGCGCGUAGGCGGCAUGACAAGUCACUUGUGAAAUCUCUGGGCUUAACCCAGAACGGCCAAGUGAUACUGUCGCGCUAGAGUGCAGAAGGGGCAAUCGGAAUUCUUGGUGUAGCGGUGAAAUGCGUAGAUAUCAAGAGGAACACCUGAGGUGAAGACGGGUUGCUGGGCUGACACUGACGCUGAGGCGCGAAAGCCAGGGGAGCAAACGGGAUUAGAUACCCCCGUAGUCCCUGAGCGGGCUGGCAAGGCGCAU
RNAcentral lists this ribosomal RNA (447 nucleotides) under uncultured bacterium. RNAcentral's name for it is "bacterial SSU rRNA". It matches the Rfam family "Bacterial small subunit ribosomal RNA", at positions 355 to 825 of the family's 1533-position model. The record is from RNAcentral.